Molecule: ribosomal RNA, 402 nt
Filed under: uncultured bacterium
Lineage: Bacteria
Description: bacterial SSU rRNA
Rfam family: Bacterial small subunit ribosomal RNA
Source: RNAcentral
GGGGGAUAUUGCACAAUGGGGGAAACCCUGAUGCAGCAAUGCCGCGUGAAGGAAGAAGGUCUUCGGAUUGUAAACUUCUGUUUUUCGUGACGAAGAAGUGACGGUAGCGAAAAAGAAAGCUCCGGCUAACUACGUGCCAGCAGCCGCGGUAAUACGUAGGGAGCAAGCGUUGUCCGGAUUUACUGGGUGUAAAGGGUGCGCAGGCGGGACUGCAAGUUGGAUGUGAAAUACCGGGGCUCAACCCCGGAGCUGCAUCCAAAACUGUAGUUCUUGAGUGAAGUAGAGGCAGGCGGAAUUCCGAGUGUAGCGGUGAAAUGCGUAGAUAUUCGGAGGAACACCAGUGGCGAAGGCGGCCUGCUGGGCUUUAACUGACGCUGAGGCACGAAAGCAUGGGGAGCAAAC